This 491-nucleotide ribosomal RNA is filed under the name uncultured bacterium. Its description in RNAcentral is "bacterial SSU rRNA". It matches the Rfam family "Bacterial small subunit ribosomal RNA", at positions 28 to 509 of the family's 1533-position model. The record is from RNAcentral.
GAUGAACGCUAGCUACAGGCUUAACACAUGCAAGUCGAGGGGCAGCGGGGAGGAUGCUUGCAUUCUCCGCCGGCGACCGGCGCACGGGUGCGUAACGCGUAUCGAACCUACCUCAUACUCGGGCAUAGCCUUGCGAAAGUAAGAUUAAUUCCCGAUGUUCUGCCAAUUUCGCAUGAGAUUGGCAGCAAAGUAUUUCGGUAUGAGAUGGCGAUGCGUCCCAUUAGUUAGUUGGCGGGGUAACGGCCCACCAAGACAUCGAUGGGUAGGGGUUCUGAGAGGAAGGUCCCCCACAUUGGAACUGAGACACGGUCCAAACUCCUACGGGAGGCAGCAGUGAGGAAUAUUGGUCAAUGGACGAGAGUCUGAACCAGCCAAGUAGCGUGCAGGAUGACGGCCCUCCGGGUUGUAAACUGCUUUUAGUGGGAAUAAAGUUCGGGGACGUGUCCCGAUUUGUAUGUACCAUCAGAAAAAGGACCGGCUAAUUCCGUGCC